AACGCACAUUGCGCUCCUCGGUGUUCCGAGGAGCAUGCCUGUUUGAGUGUCAGUAAAUUCUCAACCCCUCUCGAUUCGCUUCGAGGGGGAGCUUGGAUAGUGGGGGCUGCCGGAGACCUGGACUCGCGUCCAGGACUUGGGCUCUCCUGAAAUGCAUCGGCUUGCGAUCGACUUUUGACUUUGCGUGACAAGGCUUUCGGCGUGAUAAUGAUCGCCGUCUUCCGAAGCGCAUGAAGGGAAGGUCUCAUGCCUCCAACAUGUCGACGGCGACGUCUUCCUUCUUUAUGUUUGACCUCAAAUCAGGUAGGACUACCCGCUGAACUUAA
RNAcentral lists this ribosomal RNA (326 nucleotides) under uncultured fungus. Its description in RNAcentral is "eukaryotic LSU rRNA". The stretch from base 1 to 52 matches the Rfam family "5.8S ribosomal RNA", at positions 103 to 154 of the family's 154-position model. The record is from RNAcentral. Lineage: Eukaryota; Fungi.